RNAcentral lists this transfer RNA (44 nucleotides) under Caldalkalibacillus thermarum TA2.A1. It matches the Rfam family "tRNA", at positions 1 to 43 of the family's 71-position model. From Rfam's summary of the family: Transfer RNA (tRNA) molecules are approximately 80 nucleotides in length. Their secondary structure includes four short double-helical elements and three loops (D, anti-codon, and T loops). Further hydrogen bonds mediate the characteristic L-shaped molecular structure. tRNAs have two regions of fundamental functional importance: the anti-codon, which is responsible for specific mRNA codon recognition, and the 3' end, to which the tRNAs corresponding amino acid is attached (by aminoacyl-tRNA synthetases). tRNAs cope with the degeneracy of the genetic code in two manners: having more than one tRNA (with a specific anti-codon) for a particular amino acid; and 'wobble' base-pairing, i.e. permitting non-standard base-pairing at the 3rd anti-codon position. The record is from Rfam by way of RNAcentral. Lineage: Bacteria; Bacillati; Bacillota; Bacilli; Caryophanales; Bacillaceae.
GGAGGGUUAGCUCAGUUGGGAGAGCACUUGCCUUACAAGCAAGG